Molecule: non-coding RNA, 91 nt
Organism: Nemania abortiva
Lineage: Eukaryota; Fungi; Ascomycota; Sordariomycetes; Xylariales; Xylariaceae
Source: the annotation of a GenBank genome assembly
GGCUUGGUGGUCUAGUGGUAUGAUUCUCGCUUAGGGUGACACCCGAAAGCAAAUAUGCGAGAGGUCCCGGGUUCAAUCCCCGGCCAAGCCC